UAGGAUAUAGUUUAAUGGUAAAAUUUUUACUUUGGGAGUAAGAGAUAGUGGUUCGAUUCCGCUUAUCCGUAA
Molecule: non-coding RNA, 72 nt
Organism: Entophlyctis luteolus
Lineage: Eukaryota; Fungi; Chytridiomycota; Chytridiomycetes; Chytridiales; Chytriomycetaceae
Source: the annotation of a GenBank genome assembly